CUCAGUAACGCGUAGUCAACCUAACCUAUGGACGGGAAUAACCUCGGGAAACUGAGAAUAAUGCCCGAUAGAACACUAUGCCUGGAAUGGUUUGUGUUCCAAAUGAUUUAUCGCCGUAGGAUGGGACUGCGGCCUAUCAGUUUGUUGGUGAGGUAAUGGCCCACCAAGACUAUUACAGGUACGGGCUCUGAGAGGAGUAGCCCGGAGAUGGGUACUGAGACACGGACCCAGGCCCUAUGGGGCGCAGCAGGCGAGAAAACUUUGCAAUGUGCGAAAGCACGACAAGGUUAAUCCGAGUGGUUUGUGCUAAACAGACCUUUUGUUAGUCCUAGAAACACUAACGAAUAAGGGGUGGGCAAGUUCUGGUGUCAGCCGCCGCGGUAAAACCGGCACCUCAAGUGGUCAGGAUGAUUAUUGGGCCUAAAGCAUCCGUAGCCGGCUCUGUAAGUUUUCGGUUAAAUCUGUAUGCUCAACAUACAGGCUGCCGGGAAUACUGCAGAGCUAGGGAGUGGAAGAGGUAGACGGUACUCGGUAGGAAGGGGUAAAAUCCUUUGAUCUAUUGAUGACCACCUGUGGCGAAGGCGGUCUACCAGAACACGUCCGACGGUGAGGGAUGAAAGCUGGGGGAGCAAACCGGAUUAGAUACCCGGGUAGUCCCAGCUGUAAACUAUGCAAACUCAGUGAUGCAUUGGCUUGUGGCCAAUGCAGUGCUGCAGGGAAGCCGUUAAGUUUGCCGCCUGGGAAGUACGUACGCAAGUAUGAAACUUAAA
Molecule: ribosomal RNA, 770 nt
Filed under: uncultured archaeon
Lineage: Archaea
Description: bacterial SSU rRNA
Rfam family: Archaeal small subunit ribosomal RNA
Source: RNAcentral